AGCAGCCGCGGUAAUUCCAGCUCCAAUAGCGUAUAUUAAAGUUGUUGCAGUUAAAAAGCUCGUAGUUGAAUUUCGGGGUUAGUAGGUUGGUCAUGCCUCCGGUAUGUACUGAUCUCACUGAUUCCUCCUUCCUUAUGAACCGUAAUGCCAUUAAUUUGGUGUUGCGGGGAAUUUGGACUGUUACUUUGAAAAAAUUAGAGUGUUUAAAGCAAGCUAACGCUUGAAUACAUUAGCAUGGAAUAAUGAAAUAGGACGUUCGAUCUUAUUUUGUUGGUUUCUAGGAUUGACGUAAUGAUUAAUAGGGAUAGUUGGGGGCAUUAGUAUUCAAUUGUCAGAGGUGAAAUUCUUGGAUUUAUUGAAGACUAACUACUGCGAAAGCAUUUGCCAAGGAUGUUUUCAUUAAUCAAGAACGAAAGUUAGGGGAUCGAAGACGAUCAGAUACCGUCGUAGUCUUAACCAUAAACUAUGCCGACUAGGGAUCGGAUGAUGUUAAUUUUUAAUGACUCAUUCGGCGCCUUAC
This 520-nucleotide ribosomal RNA is filed under the name uncultured Glomus. RNAcentral describes it as "SSU rRNA". It matches the Rfam family "Eukaryotic small subunit ribosomal RNA", at positions 569 to 1091 of the family's 1831-position model. The record is from RNAcentral. Lineage: Eukaryota; Fungi; Glomeromycota; Glomeromycetes; Glomerales; Glomeraceae.